Molecule: ribosomal RNA, 468 nt
Filed under: uncultured bacterium
Lineage: Bacteria
Description: partial 16S ribosomal RNA
Rfam family: Bacterial small subunit ribosomal RNA
Source: RNAcentral
GACGAACGCUGGCGGCGUGCUUAACACAUGCAAGUCGAACGGAAAGGCCCUGCUUUUGUGGGGUGCUCGAGUGGCGAACGGGUGAGUAACACGUGAGUAACCUGCCCUUGACUUUGGGAUAACUUCAGGAAACUGGGGCUAAUACCGGAUAGGAGCUCCUGAUGCAUGGUGGGGGUUGGAAAGUUUCGGCGGUUGGGGAUGGACUCGCGGCUUAUCAGCUUGUUGGUGGGGUAGUGGCUUACCAAGGCUUUGACGGGUAGCCGGCCUGAGAGGGUGACCGGCGACAAGGGGACUGAGAUAGGGAGCAGACGCCUACGGUAGGCAGCAGUGGGGAAUAUUGCACAAUGGGCGGAAGCCUGAUGCAGCAACGCCGCGUGCGGGAUGACGGCCUUCGGGUUGUAAACCGCUUUCGCCUGUGACGAAGCGUGAGUGACGGUAAUGGGUAAAGAAGCACCGGCUAACUACGUG